AGCGAACGCUGGCGGCAGGCCUAACACAUGCAAGUCGAACGAACUCUUCGGAGUUGGUGGCUGACGCGUGAGUAAAGCGUCGGAACGGUGCUUUUGGCUCGGGAUAACACAGGUAAACUUGGGCUAAUACCGAAUGUGCCCUGCGGGGGAAAGAUUUGUCGCCAUGAGAGCGGCCGGCGUCUGAUUGGCUUGUUGGGGAGGUAAGGGCUCACCAAGGCGACGAUCAGUAGCGGGGAUGAGAGGCUGACCAGCCACACUGCGACUGAGACACGGCCGAGACUCCUACGGGAGGCAGCAGAGGGGAAUCUUGCGAAAUGGGCGGAAGGCUGACGCAGCCAUGCCGCGUGAAUGAUGAAGGUCUUAGGAUUGUAAAAUUCUUUCACCGGGGACGAUAAUGACGGUACCCGGAGAAGAAGCCCCGGCUAACUUCGUG
This 433-nucleotide ribosomal RNA is filed under the name uncultured bacterium. RNAcentral's name for it is "partial 16S ribosomal RNA". It matches the Rfam family "Bacterial small subunit ribosomal RNA", at positions 29 to 507 of the family's 1533-position model. The record is from RNAcentral.